GUCAUUGUCCAUUAUAUUUUGCGUUGGAGGACCAUCGUCGCUGCAGUUCGUCGUGUUCCGGUCUGCAACUGUGAGAAAUGUCACCAAGGCAUAUGUAAGAUGUAGGGAUGGUACCAACACCUAUGCCUACUUACCAUGGAGCAAAACCCAAAGAGGAAAAUCAAGAAAGAGCACAGCAAUGGCCACAGAGGUGAAAUGAGGCGAAGCAGCUGGAC
Long non-coding RNA from Scleropages formosus (Asian bonytongue), 215 nucleotides. RefSeq lists it as uncharacterized. The transcript has 3 exons. Lineage: Eukaryota; Metazoa; Chordata; Actinopteri; Osteoglossiformes; Osteoglossidae. The record is from RefSeq and is a predicted model, not a curated record.